Molecule: non-coding RNA, 109 nt
Organism: Acanthosepion pharaonis
Lineage: Eukaryota; Metazoa; Mollusca; Cephalopoda; Sepiida; Sepiidae
Source: the annotation of a GenBank genome assembly
UCUAUGCCGAAUCGGAACACCGGUUUUCAUCCGAUCACCGAAGUUAAGCAACGCCGAGACUGGUUAGAACCUAGAUGGGUAAAUGUUCGGGAAUACCAGGUGCUGUAAG